RNAcentral lists this long non-coding RNA (1299 nucleotides) under Fukomys damarensis (Damara mole-rat). RNAcentral describes it as "lncRNA (ENSFDAG00000031273.1)". The record is from RNAcentral. Lineage: Eukaryota; Metazoa; Chordata; Mammalia; Rodentia; Bathyergidae.
CCUUCCAUUCUGUGGUCCUUCCCUAUUUUGGCGCUGACCUUGAACCCCUGACCUGCUGUCACCGUCUGGCGCCAGCGUCUCUCCAGACCUCGUCCCAAAGUACAGAGAGGGCAGGCAGGGUCCAUCCGUGUUUGCCCUCCUGCCCCUGACCAACAUAGCCCACUGCCAGUCAGGGAAGCCAGCCAGGCCAGCGGGGUUCUGUGAAUGCCGUGGUGUGUGGUAAAGACUGUGGCAACUUGGCAAUGAUUUCAUCUCCUCCUGGAACCCCCUCCCUCUCUCCCAUUAGGCUGUCCAGCCCUGGUGGCCCCUGGUACAGAGCUGGGAGGCCUCAGGGAGGGGAUAGCACUGCCCCCUGGGUAACAAAAGCCCUUCUUUGGCAGCAGCCAGGGGGGUGCUUGGGAGAAGAAGGGACUCCCAGGGAGGGGCACACGUGUCUCUGGGUACAAGGGCAUAACAGUGGAAGGGAUCAGAUCCUCCUUUAGUCCAGGGGUUCUGGACCUCUUCAGGAUCCCCAUGCCCCCAGCACCCAGCCCAUGGAGGGCUCAGCUCACCCUGGAGUGGCAAAGGAAUCCCAGGUAGACCACAACCACUGCAGGCAGCAGCACCAGCAGAAAGACCAUUCCAGGAAGCAGCAGGUGGAGCAGGAGCCAGCUCACUCAUACUAUCCUGGCAAGGGUCUGCAGAGCUUUCAGCAGCAGUCAGAAGACAGGACCAGCCCCCCCAUGAGACUACAGACCCGUUAAUCCUCCCCAGGGAGCUGCCACCCACCUGCCAUGGUGGAAACUGGAGAGCUGGCAGGCCUUGAAGAGCCACUGGGCCAUGCUGCCUAGCUUCCCACCUCUGCCCACCUGGCCCUGGCACAGCUGCAGCACAGCAGGGAGUAGCUCCUCAGCAAUGGGGACCCAUCCCCAUCCUUCAUCUCAGGGCUGCUGUCUGGGACAAAGGCUACAGUGCACUGAGGUCACUGCUCCUCUCGCUUUUGGCAUUUGGGCAAGAGCCCAGUGCGCAAGACCUGGCCCAGGCUCAGCAGGAGCUGCGGUGGGUAGAGCUGGGCUCAGAGGCCCCUGGACCCAGGAGAGAGAGGCCCAGUACUCCCCAGAGCUGGGGCCGCCUGCUCCAGGCGGUGUGGUGCGGUUCCCCGGGCCUGGUGAUGCAACUGCUGCGACAAGGGGCCAGCGUGGAGGAGAGGUGAGACGAGUCCCCACUUCUGGGUUGCUGGGAUCCCCGCUCUGGGCUGACAGGAUCCGGUCUGGGUCCCAGGACCGUCCACACCCGCGCCCGACGCCGCGCUCCCCCACA